Molecule: ribosomal RNA, 253 nt
Filed under: uncultured bacterium
Lineage: Bacteria
Description: partial 16S ribosomal RNA
Rfam family: Bacterial small subunit ribosomal RNA
Source: RNAcentral
UACAGAGGGUGCAAGUGUUGUUCGGAAUUAUUGGGCGUAAAGGGCGUGUAGGUGGUUCGGUAAGUCAGAUGUGAAAUCCCUGGGCUUAACCCAGGAACUGCAUUUGAAACUGUCGGACUAGAGUGCGGCAGAGGAGAGUGGAAUUCCCGGUGUAGAGGUGAAAUUCGUAGAGAUCGGGAGGAACACCAGUGGCGAGAGCGGCUCUCUGGGCCUGCACUGACGCUGAGACGCGAAAGCGUGGGGAGCGAACAGG